AAACUUUUAACAACGGAUCUCUUGGUUCUGGCAUCGAUGAAGAACGCAGCGAAAUGCGAUAAGUAAUGUGAAUUGCAGAAUUCAGUGAAUCAUCGAAUCUUUGAACGCACAUUGCGCCCGCCAGCAUUCUGGCGGGCAUGCCUGUUCG
Molecule: ribosomal RNA, 148 nt
Filed under: Colletotrichum gloeosporioides
Lineage: Eukaryota; Fungi; Ascomycota; Sordariomycetes; Glomerellales; Glomerellaceae
Description: 5.8S ribosomal RNA
Rfam family: 5.8S ribosomal RNA
About the family: 5.8S ribosomal RNA (5.8S rRNA) is a component of the large subunit of the eukaryotic ribosome. It is transcribed by RNA polymerase I as part of the 45S precursor that also contains 18S and 28S rRNA.
Source: RNAcentral